RNAcentral lists this ribosomal RNA (403 nucleotides) under uncultured bacterium. RNAcentral describes it as "bacterial SSU rRNA". It matches the Rfam family "Bacterial small subunit ribosomal RNA", at positions 355 to 775 of the family's 1533-position model. The record is from RNAcentral.
UAGGGAAUAUUAGAAAUGGACGAAAGUCUGAUCUAGCAACACCGCGUGUGCGAAGAAGGCCUUCGGGUUGUAAAGCACUUUUUGGAAGGAUUAGGAAGGAAUGUACUUCCAGAAUAAGUCUCGGCUAACUACGUGCCAGCAGCCGCGGUAACACGUAGGAGGCAAACGUUAUCCGGAUUUACUGGGCGUAAAGCGCGUGUAGGUGGUUCUGUAAGUAGGGCGUGAAAGCUCCUGGCUCAACUGGGAGAGGCCGUUCUAAACUGCAGAGCUAGAGGAUGGUAGAGGGAGGUGGAAUUCCGGGUGUGGCGGUGGAAUGCGCAGAUAUCCGUAGGAACACCAGUGGCGAGAGCGGCCUCCUGGACCAUUCCUGACACUCAGACGCGAAAGCUAGGGUAGCAAACGG